CAGCCGCCACGGUAAUACGAAGGGGGCUAGCGUUGCUCGGAAUGACUGGGUGUAAAGGGCGCGUAGGCGGCGGCCAAAGUCAGGCGUGAAAUUCCCGGGCUCAACCUGGGGGCUGCGUUUGAUACUUGGUUGCUUGAGUGGGGAAGAGGGUCGUGGAAUUCCCAGUGUAGAGGUGAAAUUCGUAGAUAUUGGGAAGAACACCGGUGGCGAAGGCGGCGACCUGGUCCUUUACUGACGCUGAGGCGCGAAAGCGUGGGGAGCAAGCAGGAUUAGAUACCCCUGUAGUCCCUGUCUCUUAUAC
Molecule: ribosomal RNA, 301 nt
Filed under: uncultured bacterium
Lineage: Bacteria
Description: partial 16S ribosomal RNA
Rfam family: Bacterial small subunit ribosomal RNA
Source: RNAcentral